RNAcentral lists this ribosomal RNA (301 nucleotides) under uncultured bacterium. RNAcentral describes it as "partial 16S ribosomal RNA". It matches the Rfam family "Bacterial small subunit ribosomal RNA", at positions 509 to 809 of the family's 1533-position model. The record is from RNAcentral.
CAGUCGCCGCGGUAAUGCGUAGGUGGCAAGCGUUGUCCGGAAUUAUUGGGCGUAAAGGGCUCGCAGGCGGUUUCUUAAGUCUGAUGUGAAAGCCCCCGGCUCAACCGGGGAGGGUCAUUGGAAACUGGGAAACUCGAGUGCAGAAGAGGAGAGUGGAAUUCCACGUGUAGCGGUGAAAUGCGUAGAGAUGUGGAGGAACACCAGUGGCGAAGGCGACUCUCUGGUCUGUAACUGACGCUGAGGAGCGAAAGCGUGGGGAGCGAACAGGAUUAGAUACCCCCGUAGUCCCUGUCUCUUAUAA